GACGAACGCUGGCGGCGUGCUUAACACAUGCAAGUCGAACGGAAAGGCCCUGCUUUUGUGGGGUGCUCGAGUGGCGAACGGGUGAGUAACAAGUGAGUAACCUGCCCUUGACUUUGGGAUAACUUCAGGAAACUGGGGCUAAUACCGGAUAGGAGCUCCUGCUGCAUGGUGGGGGUUGGAAAGUUUCGGCGGUUGGGGAUGGACUCGCGGCUUAUCAGCUUGUGGGUUGGGUAGUGGCUUACCAAGGCUUUGACGGGUAGCCGGCCUGAGAGGGUGACCGGCCACAUUGGGACUGAGAUACGGCCCAGACUCCUACGGGAGGCAGCAGUGGGGAAUAUUGCACAAUGGGCGGAAGCCUGAUGCAGCAACCCCGCGUGCGGGAUGACGGCCUUCGGGUUGUAAACCGCUUUCGCCUGUGACGAAGCGUGAGUGACGGUAAUGGGUAAAGAAGCACCGGCUAACUACGUG
Molecule: ribosomal RNA, 468 nt
Filed under: uncultured bacterium
Lineage: Bacteria
Description: partial 16S ribosomal RNA
Rfam family: Bacterial small subunit ribosomal RNA
Source: RNAcentral